CCUACGGGAGGCAGCAGUGAGGAAUAUUGGUCAAUGGACGCAAGUCUGAACCAGCCAUGCCGCGUGCAGGAAGACGGCUCUAUGAGUUGUAAACUGCUUUUGUACGAGGGUAAACGCAGAUACGCGUAUCUGUCUGAAAGUAUCGUACGAAUAAGGAUCGGCUAACUCCGUGCCAGCAGCCGCGGUAAUACGGAGGAUUCAAGCGUUAUCCGGAUUUAUUGGGUUUAAAGGGUGCGUAGGCGGUCGGAUAAGUUAGAGGUGAAAUCCCGAGGCUCAACUUCGGAAUUGCCGCUGAUACUGUUCGGCUAGAGAGUAGUUGAGGUAGGCGGAAUGUAUGGUGUAGCGGUGAAAUGCUUAGAGAUCAUACAGAACACCGAUUGCGAAGGCAGCAUACCAAGCUACUACUGACGUUGAGGCACGAAAGCGUGGGGAGCAAACAGGAUUAGAUACCCCAGUAGUC
RNAcentral lists this ribosomal RNA (460 nucleotides) under uncultured bacterium. RNAcentral describes it as "partial 16S ribosomal RNA". It matches the Rfam family "Bacterial small subunit ribosomal RNA", at positions 338 to 795 of the family's 1533-position model. The record is from RNAcentral.